Molecule: non-coding RNA, 3321 nt
Organism: Oryza sativa Japonica Group (Japanese rice)
Lineage: Eukaryota; Viridiplantae; Streptophyta; Magnoliopsida; Poales; Poaceae
Source: RefSeq, a predicted model, not a curated record
CUUCACUGGCCCCACAUCCGAUUCCGCACUGCUGUGCUGCCCAAUUCCUCCACGCAUCGCUGCAUUUGGGUGAGAGGGGAACCAAGCUAGGGUUUCGCCUCCCCCGCACGCCUCCUCCUCCGCAUCGCGCGAACCGACCCGACCCCCGCUUCGCCGCCGCCGCGGCCGCGAUGGGGACGGAGAGGAAGCGCAAGGUGAGCCGUGAGCCUCUUCGACGUGGUCGACAAGACCUCCGUCUCCGCCAAGCUCGGCGGCGCCGCCACCACCAACGGCACCGCCGCCGCCGCGGCGGCCAACCAGCCCCUAAUCGGCGAGGUACCUCGAGUCCCAAGACACUCGAGAAGCGCCGCACGCUCCCCGUGUGGCAGCUGAAGGACGAUUUCCUCGCUGUCCUCCACGACAACCAGGCCCUCAUCCUCGUCGGAGAAACCGGAAGCGGCAAGCACUCAGAUGGAAUCGCACCACAGUACCUCGACCCCCAAAUCCAUCGAUCCGCCGCCAUCGGUUCAGGGGAGUGGCACUCCGGUAGGCCGCUCAUCGAGUUAUCUUGAUUUCCCGAGCCUCCGCUCAUCCGCCACCACGCGUGUUCGGGGUUCUCUGCGCCAUCGUCGCCUUCAUCCUCCUGUUUGCACGCUGCCGCCAAUCUACUGACUCUGGGUUUCAAUACGGAGUGGACAAAGUGUUCCAGCCAUUGCCAUCGUCGCCUUCCAUGGGGCAUGAGCUCCUCUGUUGGGGUUCAGUACUGAGUGGAGAAAGUGUGUUCCGGCCACUGCCGUCAUUGCCUUCCACGGGACAGUAAGCUCCAGCAAGCGGAUAUAGAUCUGCAUUUCCAUCCGCAACAGCUCUUCAUCUGGUCUGCCUCUAUUCAUUUUGUUGUCAAUUGGUUGGUUUCACCAUCCUUUACUCUACAACAGAUGAUUUGCAUGGCCAUUGUUUCAUGCGCAGGAAAUUCAUGGACGGUUUACAAUGUAAAUUUGAUGUUGGAUGGUGUCUUAUCUCGACCAAAGUUUGUCAAAUUCGCUUGCCUGUUGCUGCGUUGUAUAACUUGCAACCUAUUUUUCUUAUAGCCAUGCCAUAAGCUUAGAUGCACCUUCUACUCGUUGCCUCAUGUAUGCAGCCGUGUUUUGAUAUAUAUGGUGCAGUGACUUUGUGAGCAGCUCAGUUUAAUAGAACCAAGGUAAGAUGGUUGAUCUCGAUCAUUGUUUCAAAUUGAUUGCCUACAACUCUUUGAAAUAGAAGGUAAGUUAACCAGACAUUCAUCUACUAUAUAUGUUUGUGUAUGUCAUAUACUUGAUGAAAUGCUUGAUGGACUUAGCCCGUCGAUAUGCAUUAUUGGUUAAGUACUCAAAACUGCACACUGCUGUCACUUAAUUUUAGAUUUCUCAUUACGUUCAGUUAUAUUAGAUUCAGGCCUUAAGGGAUAUGGCAGCUAUUAACUGUAUAAUAUUUUGACCCAAAUGAUUCAGUUCUAGAGCACUUAAAGAUGGCUAUUGCAGGUAUUAUAGGCCAGCACAAAGUUUGUUGUUGUUAUCUCUUUGUUGCUUGCAGUAUACUCAUAUCACAUUGAAGCCAAGUUAUGCUAUGUAUUACGUUGAUUUGGUCAUGAAACGUUUCUCUCUAUUCAGGAAGCAUUUUUAUUCAACAAUGUAUGCGCCUUCUUUGCUAAACUACUAUGCAGUGGAUGUGUUCAUGAUUGUUUUCUUCUGAUCCUAGCACAUUCCCUGAGAUAUCCUUCAAAUAUGAUGACUUCAAAGUCAUCGUGUGCCUUUUUUCCUCUCAUAUUUACAUUGUUAUGCCUAGGACAAUAGCUUCAGUUUAACAGUGCACCUUCGCUGCUUGAUAAUUGCGAUGGGUAAGAUACUAUCAGUCAACUGUGAAUGUAUUAUGUACUAAUGUUGUUUCACCUCUACAAAGCCAAAAAAUGAAGUUCUCCCUAGACACACCCAAACCUUCCAAGUAGAGCAAUAAUUUUAUUAGCAACCAUUAUUUCCACAUAUCUAUCGCCUCUUUGAUUUAAAUAGUCAUCCAAGAUAAAGGAGUUAACGCAAUAAACUAAAUGGGCUGCUCAUUUUGUUUAAUGUCCAUAGAUUUGCAAGCAGGAAUCCCUCAAUCUAUAUUUUCUUUGCUUGGCAGGAGUUACAUUUUUUUAGAUGACAUCCAGUAGGGAUUCAGGCCAUUGGAGCUUGAGGGAUACACACCAUUCAGUAGUUUGAGAAAUUGAUGUUUCAACUUCGCCUAAAUUUAUAGGUUAAAUAUGAUACUAAUUAGUUGUGCUUGUCGUUUUUAGUAAUCAGUGCCACAUAUAAAAUGUAGCUCAAGCCAUUUUUUUGUGCUUUUACCUCUCCUAUCAAGGUAGGACUGAUGUUGGCAUUUGGGAACGCCUUUUCAUUUUCUUUAUGUAAUGAGGAUUAAUGUAUUUCCAACUCCUAAUUAGUAAAUCACAACAAGAGGAAAGCAAUAAGGAUAUAAUUACCCUUUCUAAAUUGAGGUGAUGUAUGCAAGAAACUAGCCAAUUGAAAUAACCAGGCUAUGAAUGUAAUAUGAAAAUACAAAACAUUGAAUGAUGUGUAAGGAGGAUCAUUUCCAUCCACUGAUUGCAUAUGCUAAUUCUAUUAUUUUAUCAUCUCUUUUUUCAAAGGUCCUUCCGGAGAUUCUUCAUAUGGCUAUCCUGGUCUGCUAACUUCUACUCCCUCCGUCCCAUAAUAGAGUAUGCUAUCAUGACACACAAGGAUUUUUUUUGUUGGGUGCUGUGUAAAAUUAUUGUUACCGAAGCCUUCAAAGGUAUUACAGUAAUAUAUUGUUACAUCUCCUUCACCGGGCUUCUAUACUAGAGAUCCUCCUAUUACUAUUUUAGUUCUUUUUAAACCAGACAACCUGAUUAGCUAUUCUUACUUAUCUUUUUAUACAAGAUUUUUUUUACAAGAUUAUAUUUGCACCAUCAGAUGUAGAAUGCCAACUUUGUUCAAGCUCCCCCUAGCCAUAUACCAUAUAUUCAUGUUCUGCUUGAUUUCUACUCUGUGGUUGAGCAAAAUCCUGUGUAUAAUACUUAUGCAUCUUGCAUUGCACUUCAGCUUAAUUUUUGUAGAGGCCACCCUGUGCAGCUUUCUCAAUUUCAUCCAUAACAAAACAAGGGGCAUUUUACAUACUCUUAGUUCAAACCGGUAUGCUCCGUUUGUAUCAAGUAAAACAGUUACGGAGUUGCUAGAAAUAUGGCGCCAUAUACUACAGUCGAUUUUUUUUCAGCCACUUACACAGUAGUUACACCUCAUUUACACCCCACUUACAUAUGUAAUUAGUAUAUAAUUUUCGAAUUUACAUAUG